Passer domesticus (house sparrow) is the source of this 1209-nucleotide long non-coding RNA. RefSeq lists it as uncharacterized. Lineage: Eukaryota; Metazoa; Chordata; Aves; Passeriformes; Passeridae. The transcript is spliced from 3 exons. The record is from RefSeq and is a predicted model, not a curated record.
GUUUGACACUGGGAAAGCACCAGGCCACAAAAGCCACUCCUGAACCUUCCCUGCCACAGCUGGGCGGAGGAGAGAAAAAAAAAAAUUAACAAUGGUUCAUGAGUUAGAGAUGAAAGAAGGACAGGAAAAGUAGAUGAAAGUAGAACAGGAGGAUAUGGGUUUGAAGAGCAAGGCAGGAGAAAGGAGAGUUACUGUCAAAGAUGAAAGAAAAAUAUUAAAAUUCUGCUGAAAAACAUCUAAAUUGGAAUUCUCUACAUCCUGAUCUGGAGCCAGCCUGGCAUCUGGAACCAAUUCAAGAGAAGCAUGAAAAGCUUUGAAGAAAAGUUAGUUCUAACCUGGCUGCUGUUCCUGGAGGAGACAAUGCUUUUGUCUGCUACCAGCUCACUGGCUUGCCAUCCACAGGAGCUGUCUGUAGCUCUCACUACCUGUUCUAAACAAAAGGUUUGCAAUGCAGAAAAGGGAACACAAGGAAUUGGAAAAACGAACACAGAAAUAUGGUGUGUUGAAGACCCUGUGCUUCAAAUAAGCAAUUCAAAAUCCAAAUUGAACUCCCCCAAGGAAGAAAACUCACAAUUUGCACAGUCAGGUCUAUUCACUGUCAUGAGGUUCCUCUGGUAGUCCCUCAAAGCCACCCGCCACAGAACAGGGAUGGCAGAUCACUUGGGAUUCCCUUGGCAUGUGGGUUUUUCAGGGUCUGACAUUUGAUUGUACUCUCCAUUCUUUAUAAAUAAAAAUGCUGUACAAAUUUUUUACAAGAAUGCUAAUCUGUGUGUGCAUGUGUUAUGUAUAUAAUAAUGUGUAUGUACACUAAAUUGUAACAUUUAAUAUGUUAUGCUAAUUUAUCUUUGCUAUAUAUUAGAUGUGAAAAGCAUUGCAUAAUUCUAGAAAACUGUCUAAACCAACCUUUGAAUCACUGCUGAUUAUUUUUCAAUGAUUUAAGAAGUUGAGUGAUACAUCGAAAACUGACAUUUUUCUGAUGCCUUUUGUAGGUAUUGCUAUCCCCAGGCAAGACACCUGUUAGAUGCCCCUGUUAUCAGAGGGGUGCCUUAUUCCCUAGAGCGCACAGGGACAGGCAUCAAACCUCUCAGCAGAAGCUGCAGAGGAAUACAUUUCCCAAGCUCUUUACUUCAUGGAGGCCACAGGACAUGUGCAUGGUGAUGGCAGGUCAUGCACAGACAGGCACAUUCUCUCUCUGGUGCUCCUCACCCC